AUACGUAGGGGGCAAGCGUUAUCCGGAUUUACUGGGUGUAAAGGGAGCGCAGGCGGUUCUGCAAGUCUGAUGUGAAAGCCCGGGGCUCAACCCCGGGACUGCAUUGGAAACUGUGGGACUUGAGUGUCGGAGGGGCAAGUGGAAUUCCUAGUGUAGCGGUGAAAUGCGUAGAUGUUAGGAGGAACACCAGUGGCGAAGGCGGCUUGCUGGACGACAACUGACGCUGAGGCUCGAAAGCGUGGGGAGC
Molecule: ribosomal RNA, 247 nt
Filed under: uncultured bacterium
Lineage: Bacteria
Description: partial 16S ribosomal RNA
Rfam family: Bacterial small subunit ribosomal RNA
Source: RNAcentral